This 468-nucleotide ribosomal RNA is filed under the name uncultured bacterium. RNAcentral's name for it is "partial 16S ribosomal RNA". It matches the Rfam family "Bacterial small subunit ribosomal RNA", at positions 28 to 507 of the family's 1533-position model. The record is from RNAcentral.
GACGAACGCUGGCGGCGGGCUUAACACAUGCAAGUCGAACGGAAAGGCCCUGCUUUUGUGGGGUGCUCGAGUGGCGAACGGGUGAGUAACACGUGAGUAACCUGCCCUGGACUUUGGGAUAACUUCAGGAAACUGGGGCUAAUACCGGAUAGGAGCUCCUGCUGCAUGGUGGGGGUUGGAAAGUUUCGGCGGUUGGGGAUGGACUCGCGGCUUAUCAGCUUGUUGGUGGGGUAGUGGCUUACCAAGGCUUUGACGGGUAGCCGGCCUGAGAGGGUGACCGGCCACAUUGGGACUGAGGUACGGCCCAGACUCCUACGGGAGGCAGUAGUGGGGAAUAUUGUACAAUGGGCGGAAGCCUGAUGCAGCAACGCCGCGUGCGGGAUGACGGCCUUCGGGUUGUAAACCGCUUUAGCCUGUGACGAAGCGUGAGUGACGGUAAUGGGUAAAGAAGCACCGGCUAACUACGUG